AUGAACGCUGGCGGCGUGCCUAAUCCAUGCAAGUCGAGCGAACAGACUAGGAGCUUGCUCCUCUGACGUUAGCGGCGGACGGGUGAGUAACACGUCGCUAACCUACCUAUAAGACUGGGAUAACUUCGGGAAACCGGAGCUAAUACCGGAUAAUAUAUUGAACCUCAUGGUUCAAUAGUGAAAGACGGUUUUGCUGUCACUUAUAGAUGGAUCCGCGCCGCAUUAGCUCGUUGGUAAGGUAACGGCUUACCAAGGCAACGAUGCGUAGCCGACCUGAGAGGGUGAUAAGCCACACUGGAACGGAGACACGGUCCAGACUCCUACGGGAGGCAGCAGUAGGGAAUCUUCCGCAAUGGGCGAAAGCCUGACGUAGCAACGCCGCGUGAGUGAUGAAGGUCUGCGGAUCUGAGAACUCUGUUAUUAGGGAAGAACAAAUGUGUAAGUAACGAUGCACGUCUUGACGGUACCGAAUCAGAAAGCCACGGCUAACUACGUG
This 496-nucleotide ribosomal RNA is filed under the name uncultured bacterium. RNAcentral's name for it is "partial 16S ribosomal RNA". It matches the Rfam family "Bacterial small subunit ribosomal RNA", at positions 29 to 507 of the family's 1533-position model. The record is from RNAcentral.